Molecule: ribosomal RNA, 234 nt
Filed under: uncultured bacterium
Lineage: Bacteria
Description: partial 16S ribosomal RNA
Rfam family: Bacterial small subunit ribosomal RNA
Source: RNAcentral
CGGACGGGUGAGGAACACAUCGGAAUCUACCCUGUCGUGGGGGACAACGUAGGGAAACUUACGCUAAUACCGCAUACGACCUUUGGGUGAAAGCGGGGGACCAGCAAUGGCCUCGCGCGAUUGGAUGAGCCGAUGUCCGAUUAGCUAGUUGGCGGGGUAAUGGCCCACCAAGGCGACGAUCGGUAGCUGGUCUGAGAGGACGACCAGCCACACUGGAACUGAGACACGGCCCAG